This 253-nucleotide ribosomal RNA is filed under the name uncultured bacterium. RNAcentral's name for it is "partial 16S ribosomal RNA". It matches the Rfam family "Bacterial small subunit ribosomal RNA", at positions 524 to 776 of the family's 1533-position model. The record is from RNAcentral.
UACGGAGGGUGCAAGCGUUGUUCGGAUUCAUUGGGCGUAAAGAGUGUGUAGGCGGUUCUCCAAGUUCGGUGUGAAAUCUCCCGGCUCAACUGGGAGGGUGCGCCGAAAACUGGAGGGCUUGAGUAUGGGAGAGGAAAGCGGAAUUCCUGGUGUAGCGGUGAAAUGCGUAGAUAUCAGGAGGAACACCUGCGGUGUAGACAGCUUUCUGGACCAUCACUGACGCUGAGACACGAAAGCGUGGGUAGCAAACAGG